Molecule: ribosomal RNA, 425 nt
Filed under: uncultured bacterium
Lineage: Bacteria
Description: partial 16S ribosomal RNA
Rfam family: Bacterial small subunit ribosomal RNA
Source: RNAcentral
GUGGGGAAUCUUAGACAAUGGGCGCAAGCCUGAUCUAGCCAUGCCGCGUGAGCGAUGAAGGCCUUAGGGUUGUAAAGCUCUUUCGUGGGGGAAGAUAAUGACUGUACCCCAAGAAGAAGCCCCGGCUAACUCCGUGCCAGCAGCCGCGGUAAUACGGAGGGGGCUAGCGUUGUUCGGAAUUACUGGGCGUAAAGCACACGUAGGCGGACUGGAAAGUCAGGGGUGAAAUCCCGGGGCUCAACCCCGGAACUGCCUUUGAAACUCCCAGUCUUGAGUUCGAGAGAGGUGAGUGGAAUUCCGAGUGUAGAGGUGAAAUUCGUAGAUAUUCGGAGGAACACCAGUGGCGAAGGCGGCUCACUGGCUCGAUACUGACGCUGAGGUGCGAAAGCGUGGGGAGCAAACAGGAUUAGAAACCCUAGUAGUCC